UCCUGGAUGAAAGUGGAAUAUAGAUUUUAAAAGUGUUUUCCAAUUGUUAUUUUCCUACAUUGCAUCAAGUGUUUAAUUGAGUAUUUAUAGGCAAUAAUUACUUCCCUUUUUCCUGCUGCUUUUCAUGCCUACCUGUAAAACCGAAAUUGAUUGGUAUUCACAAGUUUAAUUAUUUUGCUUCUUUUGACGUAGAAGUCACCAAAUAAGAAAAAUCUGUUUUCUGCAUUAAAUAUUUAUUAUUAUGACUUAGGUGUCAUGUGUCUGAUUUGUAUCUACAUGUUGAAGUCGUCAAUUUGAGUAAAUCAGGCCUGAUCAUUUAUUUCAAAAGAACGAAGGAAUGGAAUUGGUUGUCAUCUAUAAAUUCUUUUGGGACUAGAAAAAGUUGAACAGGUGAUAAGGAUGCUUAUUAUAUCACAAGUCCGAGUGAGGAAUCGUAGUGGCUAUGCAAUACUUGCAUAUAAUCAUCAAAGUUAUGGGUGUUAGAUAAAAGACGGAGAAGAGGAAGAAUACAUACUUUUUGAAGUAUAACUGUUGUGUAAUAUGAUUGAUAAUAAUUAGAUACAAAAACUAAGCUGUGUCCCUUUUUACACUAACCCAACCCCAAAUACUAAAUAAAUAGGGAAUAAGGAAAUAAAUCAUGAUAACAUCUAUAAGAAAUAUCUUUCCAAUGUUGUCAAUCACGGAAAAUAGUGGGUUUUUCAAAUUCCCUUGUGCCAUAACGCCGCUAUAGCUAUUAUUUGACACUUUGUUGUCAAUAGUACGCCAGCAGAAUAGCAUAGCGGUGCCAGCUUUCAGUGCGACUCUCUUGGCUUGCAAGCCGCCAUCACCAAUAGCUGUUGUUGCAGUCAGUGCGAUGCUCUGGGCCUGCCAGCCGCCAUCACCAAUAGCUGUUGUUGCAAUCGGUGCGACGCUCUUGGCCUGAGCCGCCAUCACCAAUAGCUGUUAAUGCAGUCACUAAUUAUGGCGAAAUUGCGGCAUCAAAUUCUUUUUUUAAAUGCGACACUCUUUUUCAAAUUCUUCUUCCUACCGUUAGUUCAGUUCUGCUAUGUUCUUUUUCUCUGCUUAAGUUUUAUUGCUUUGCAUUUCUGUUCGUUAACUACCAAGUAUGAUGGUCUCUUUAAUUUUGUGAUAUUUUUCUAUUUUUGAGAGUAUGUAUGUUUACUCUGUACACUGAUUUUUAGUCUUUGUAAUAGUAUCCUGACAUCCGCCAUAGCAUUUUAGAGGUUCAGUGCUACACAGGCUAUCUGAGAUUAACAACAUAUAUUUGACAACACCUUGUAUUAGAGUAUCAUGGAACAAUAGCGGGCUGUUCAACUUCUACUAUGCUAUACUGCCGAUAUAGCGGCUAUUUGACAUCUUUAAUGGAAACUUAUCUUAAGGUUAGAAUUUAAUCCUACGAGGUAAACUAAAUUAAUCUGACAUUAAAUAAAGAUAAUUUCAUAUAUACUCUUUACAAUAACCUGUCGAUGUAGGUUCAUCAGUAGGAUAUGUACCUAUGGCCUAUUUUGUUGACUUAGUUUAAUUGUAACAAUUGUUGACCAACCUUGAUUGACGGAUUUUCUUUUUAAUGACUUGUUCUAUAGUGGCCCAAACUUUGCAUAAAGAAUGUGAAUAACCUGUAGCUGGUUCUUUCGUUUUCCUUCAAUCAUGAUCAUACCCAACAGUUUUAGCUCAUAUCCUGGAAGGAGAAGAAAAGAAGAAUAGAGGAAGAAGAAGAAAAGAAGAAUAGAGGAAGAAGAAGAAAAGAUGAAUAGAGGAAGAAGAAAAGAAAAGAAAAA
Long non-coding RNA from Lathyrus oleraceus (garden pea), 1778 nucleotides. RefSeq lists it as uncharacterized. The record is from RefSeq and is a predicted model, not a curated record. The transcript has 2 exons. Lineage: Eukaryota; Viridiplantae; Streptophyta; Magnoliopsida; Fabales; Fabaceae.